CCGGAUACUCCGGCAGGGCUGCACCGCACAAAGCAGCCCAGCCCCACCGCACC
This 53-nucleotide non-coding RNA is filed under the name unclassified sequences. Its description in RNAcentral is "RAGATH-5 RNA". It matches the Rfam family "RAGATH-5 RNA". The record is from RNAcentral.